Molecule: ribosomal RNA, 465 nt
Filed under: Vreelandella stevensii
Lineage: Bacteria; Pseudomonadati; Pseudomonadota; Gammaproteobacteria; Oceanospirillales; Halomonadaceae
Description: partial 16S ribosomal RNA
Rfam family: Bacterial small subunit ribosomal RNA
Source: RNAcentral
CCUACGGGAGGCUGCCGUGGGGAAUAUUGGACAAUGGGCGAAAGCCUGAUCCAGCCAUGCCGCGUGUGUGAAGAAGGCCUUCGGGUUGUAAAGCACUUUCAGUGGGGAAGAAAGCCUUGGGGCUAAUACCCUCGAGGAAGGACAUCACCCACAGAAUAAGCACCGGCUAACUCCGUGCCAGCAGCCGCGGUAAUACGGAGGGUGUGAGCGUUAAUCGGAAUUACUGGGCGUAAAGCGCGCGUAGGCGGUCUGAUAAGCCGGUUGUGAAAGCCCCGGGCUCAACCUGGGAACGGCAUCCGGAACUGUCAGGCUAGAGUGCAGGAGAGGAAGGUAGAAUUCCCGGUGUAGCGGUGAAAUGCGUAGAGAUCGGGAGGAAUACCAGUGGCGAAGGCGGCCUUCUGGACUGACACUGACGCUGAGGUGCGAAAGCGUGGGUAGCAAACAGGAUUAGAUACCCCUGUAGUC